UGAAAUUACGUUUACAGUCCCUUUAAGGACAAACUUUAAGGUCAUGUAAACCUGGAGCUAAACAUUUGUAUUUUAAUCAUUCAACAUAAACACCCUGGUAUUUGAUUUACACAAACCCAACUAAACAAACCUGAAUUUUUGUUUGUUUUGUAAAGAAUCAAAAUGACAACAGAAAACAAGGAAGGACCAGAGGGAGGAGAGGAAAUAGAAAUGACUGAUUUAAAUAUGCCUCAGAAGAAACCUCACAAAUCCAUAUCUCUUGGUUUCUGCAGGAAACAACAGGGAUUUAAUAUAACUGGACAUCUUCUUCUGUUUCUGUUGUUCGUUUUAUCUCUAGCUUUAAUAGUUGGACUCAUAUAUUGGAUGGAUUAAUGUUCUUCAAGAGAGUGACUGUUUGCCUUAAAUCAACAAUCUUAAUACAUAUGUUAUCAGUAUUAUUAUUAUAUAAUAAAUUAAAGGGAAUAAUCACUUUUUAAAAGAACACAUUAAACAUCUUUUCUUUCCGACUGUUCAGCAAUAUUUAUUACUUUCUGUCCAAAAGCAGAACAUCGUGAAUUAUCAUGUUAGAAUUAUUAGACAUAAUAAAUGUUUACACAAAAAAACGGGAUGGUUCUUUUAACAAAAAGCGGGAUGGUUCUUUUAACAAAAAGCGGGAUGGUUCUUUGAACAAAAAGCGGGAUGGUUUUUUUUAACAAAAAAGCGGGAUGGUUCUUUUAACAAAAAGCGGGAUGGUUCUUUUAACAAAAAGUAUCAAAAUAUUUUCCUUCUGUACAUUUGUGUUUGAUAGUGUUCCUAAUUCUAAAAAAUAGGAUUAAAUGUGUUUUUUCCUUCAAAAAUGUGAACAAUCCCUUUAGUUAAAUUAUUUAUGAC
Long non-coding RNA from Eurytemora carolleeae, 870 nucleotides. RefSeq lists it as uncharacterized. The record is from RefSeq and is a predicted model, not a curated record. Lineage: Eukaryota; Metazoa; Arthropoda; Copepoda; Calanoida; Temoridae. The transcript is spliced from 4 exons.